UACGAAGGGGGCUAGCGUUGCUCGGAAUCACUGGGCGUAAAGGGUGCGUAGGCGGGUCUUUAAGUCAGAGGUGAAAUCCUGGAGCUCAACUCCAGAACUGCCUUUGAUACUGAGGGUCUUGAGUAUGACAGAGGUGAGUGGAACUGCGAGUGUAGAGGUGAAAUUCGUAGAUAUUCGCAAGAACACCAGUGGCGAAGGCGGCUCACUGGGUCAUUACUGGACGCUGAGGCACGGAAAAGCGAUG
This 244-nucleotide ribosomal RNA is filed under the name uncultured bacterium. RNAcentral's name for it is "partial 16S ribosomal RNA". It matches the Rfam family "Bacterial small subunit ribosomal RNA", at positions 524 to 766 of the family's 1533-position model. The record is from RNAcentral.